AUGAUAGGUCAUAUUAAUCCUCAGAGAAGACAAUGGAAUCAGGUGAAAAGCAAUUCACUGAGUUUGAAGCAAAUGAGUGGAUGGAAAAAAAGACAUGGAGAUUUUGAGAUAUGGAAGAAGGAAGACAAUAGAGCACAUGAUCUGUUUCUCGGUAGAAUAGGAGACAAAGUCAUGGGGAACAGAAAGGUUCUUGAAUACCCUUUCCAAGAAGAACAGCUGGAAACGAUCCAUGCAGCUGAAGUUAGAUUGCUAGUUUAUAGCCUAUCUUGGACCAUUUCCUGGAAAUAUCCAGUUACCAGAAAUCCUAACAGUGUUUCUUGAGACAGUCAAAGGUAAGACUGAGUUAUAUGGUAUGUUCCUUUGCAACUUUUUCUAAUAAUUGCUGACUAUGAAAGCUAUCCAAACUCUUAGAUAUUCUUCUUUUUCUGGGUUCUUUAAGUUAUACAAUUAGGCUUCUUUCUGAUCACUUCCACACACAUGCGACCUUUUUAUUCUGAUUGAUGAAUAUGAUGAUAGAUUACAUCUCCUGAAUGACCUAUGCCAGAGAACUGCAUAUGAAUGUCAUACCUAAAAGGAGGCUUUGUGUUAGGAUUUAGUAAAAUAAUCAGAGGCUAGUUUUUCAGGUGUUAAAAGGGGUGAAGCCUUCAUUGUCUGACUUCUCUAAUCUACAUUGUUAUCUCCUUAAAAAAAUUAUUAGAAUCUCUAUCAUUUACUUUGAUGCUUAUUAUCUUGUCUUGUAUUGUCGAAUUAUUUCACAUAUCUAUGUUUUACAUCCCAAAGAGAAUUCUUCUACUAGAGAACAGGACAAUGUCUUAUAUGCCUUCAUAGGAUUAAUCACACCACACAGUAGGCAUUUAAAAUGGUUUAUAUCUGGUUUAUGUAAAUUGUUGCACAGACACUAUCUUCAUAGGAAUAGAGUUAAUAUGUGUGAUUUUAUUAGUAUAGAGAAACACUAAGGAAAUGAUGCCUUCUCUACAACGUGUGGUCUUAAAAAGUUGCCUAAAGCAACAAGAUACAAUAUGGGUCAGAAAUAGAGAUCAGAAACCCAGGUCUCUGACUAGUUUUCAGUCUUUCUUGUUUUUAUAAUCAUUUGGAAUUUGAGAGAGUCUAUGUCUCCCACUGUGGUGACUUUAUUAGUCUAAAGGCUUCAAAAUUCUCUGAAUUCCAAGGGUACGAGAUAGGGAUUCCCUAAAGGGCCAUAUGAACUCAAUUAAGCUUGUACUAAGCUUCAACUAGACCUUAACAAGCAGACACAUUUCACUCACAUUUAUAUGUCAGGUUGAUGAACUUAUAGACCUGGUUUGAUAACAUUUCAUCAGCCUACAAUGUUUAUACACCUCACACAAUUUUCCCCAUCAGCACUAUUAAGAACUGAAGUAGAACAAGUCUAUUUUUGUCUUAAGACCUUUGACCCAUUGUUAGCUUGGACAUUGUCUACAAUAAUAUUUCAACCACUGGCAUCCAGCAGUGUAAGCAGUAUGUGCAAUUCCAUUUAUACACCUCCAUGUAAUUUAUAGCUUUUUAAAUGAUAGGUUCAAAGAAAAUUCACUGAUAAUCAUGACUGUGUGGAUAGCCAGGAUGUUUUGAUCAAGUAACUAAUCACUAUAUUUUUCCUUAGUACACUAUUUAGAUGUCAAGUUCACAGCUAGUUCAAACUUAGAAUACUCCUCAGGCAUCAUCUCAAUUUUGUAAAGGAGCACAUGGAAAUAGAAAAGGCCAGGAAUUUACUUCUUCUGAAACAAAGGCAAACUAUAGCUAGAACCCAAGCAUAGUAGUAGUGUCUCCUUAUUGUAUACAUAAUUUGCUUUGUUCUGUUCAUUCCUCUGAGCAGCUAAUUGACAGGUAGAGUACUGGUCCUGGUAUCAGGAAGACUCAUCUUUCUAAGUUCACAUCUGGCUUUAGACACUAGCUGUGUAACCCUGGACAAUUCACUCAACCCUUUUUGCCUCUGUUCACAAAAGGAGCUGAAGAAGGAAAUGAUAAACCACUCCAGUGUCUUUGCCAAUAAAACCACAGAUGGGGUCA
Long non-coding RNA from Monodelphis domestica (gray short-tailed opossum), 2025 nucleotides. The record is from Ensembl. NCBI's taxonomy places the organism in Eukaryota, Metazoa, Chordata, Mammalia, Didelphimorphia, Didelphidae.